CACGGGGGGAGCAAGCGUUGUUCGGAAUCACUGGGCGUAAAGAGCUCGUAGGCGGUUUGUCGCGUCUGCCGUGAAAAUCCGGGGCUCAACCCCGGACUUGCAGUGGGUACGGGCAGACUAGAGUGUGGUAGGGGAGACUGGAAUUCCUGGUGUAGCGGUGAAAUGCGCAGAUAUCAGGAGGAACACCGAUGGCGAAGGCAGGUCUCUGGGCCACUACUGACGCUCAUGCACGAAAGCGUGGGGAGCAAACAGG
Molecule: ribosomal RNA, 253 nt
Filed under: uncultured bacterium
Lineage: Bacteria
Description: partial 16S ribosomal RNA
Rfam family: Bacterial small subunit ribosomal RNA
Source: RNAcentral